GGGAGCGACUUGGCUUCGACAGGAGUAAGUCUGCUUAGAUGGCAUGUCGCUUUGGGCAAAGCGUAAAAAGCCCAAAUAAAAUUAAACGCAAACAACGUUAAAUUCGCUCCUGCUUACGCUAAAGCUGCGUAAGUUCAGUUGAGCUUGAAAUUUAAGUCAUACUAUCUAGCUUAAUUUUCGGUCAUUUUUGAUAGUGUAGCCUUGCGUUUGACAAGCGUUGAGGUGAAAUAAAGUCUUAGCCUUGCUUUUGAGUUUUGGAAGAUGAGCGAAGUAGGGUGAAGUAGUCAUCUUUGCUAAGCAUGUAGAGGUCUUUGUGGGAUUAUUUUUGGACAGGGGUUCGAUUCCCCUCGCUUCCACCA
RNAcentral lists this transfer-messenger RNA (359 nucleotides) under Campylobacter jejuni. It matches the Rfam family "transfer-messenger RNA". Rfam says of the family: Bacterial tmRNA, also known as 10Sa RNA or SsrA, is named for its dual tRNA and mRNA-like properties. Its role is to liberate the mRNA from a stalled ribosome. To accomplish this part of the tmRNA is used as a reading frame that ends in a translation stop signal. Lineage: Bacteria; Pseudomonadati; Campylobacterota; Epsilonproteobacteria; Campylobacterales; Campylobacteraceae. The record is from RNAcentral.